This is a long non-coding RNA of Carassius auratus (goldfish), 3241 nucleotides long. The record is from Ensembl. NCBI's taxonomy places the organism in Eukaryota, Metazoa, Chordata, Actinopteri, Cypriniformes, Cyprinidae.
UUACGCUUUAGUACAUUGGUAACGUAAGAUCAUUUUCUAGCCAUGUCAUGCUAGUUAACAGUUAACAUUACAGAGAGUAAUUGUAACUUACCUUGGUGAAAAUGCUUUUGAACACACCAUCAUGUGUGGUGGAGUGUUAUCGAAGGUAAGCUUGGCCUCCUUACCGCUGCUAUCCAAGCCAUUCGUCGCCUUUUUGUCACCUCUGAAACAAGGCUUGUACUAUUAUUUUUCCACGCUGGAAAACGAUAAAAGGAUAUUCCGUUCUUAAGCUUUAUGCCACUUCUUUCGUGAGAACGACUAUUUCAGUUUAUAACACAGCAGGAAGACGGGAUCUUUAAAACUGCUUUCUUCCUCCAUGCAAAGAAGUCUGGCGCCAAAUGUUUGUGCCGCGGAUUCCCAGAAUGCUUUGCGUUCACCACUGGGAAUACGUUAUGAUGACGACACAUUGUCGACAUCAUGACGUAUUCCCAGUGGUGAACGCAAAGCAUUCUGGGAAUCCGCGGCACAACCAUUAGGCGCGAGACUCCUUUGCAUGGAGGAAGAACGCAGUUUUAAAGAUCCCGUCUACCUGCUGUGUUAUAAACUGAAAUAGUCGUUCUCACGAAAGAAGUGGCAUAAAGCUUACGAACGGAAUAUCAUUUUAUCGUUUUCCAGCGUGGAAAAAUAAUAGUACAAGCCUUGUUUCAGAGGUGACAAAAAGGCGACGAAUGGCAUGGAUAGCAGCGGUAAGGAGGCCAAGAUUACCUUCGAUAUCACUCCACCACACAUGAUGGUGUGUUCAAAAGCAUUUUCACCAAGGUUUCCCAAAACCGGAAAGAUGAGGAGGCAGUGGGAACUUGCCCUAAGAGGAGACGGUUUUGUUGCCUCUGACAGGACACUGCUCUGCAGUGAGCACUUCAGGAGUGAGGACUUUGACAGAACAGGGCAGAAUGUCUGGCUUAAAGAUGGUGUUGUGCCAAACAUUUUCAACUUUCCAGCUCCUCUUCAAAGGUUGGCAGCAAGAAGCACAAGCACCUCUAGAAGAGCGGAAGACAUCCUGCCAAUGGACUUGUCUCAGGAUGUACCUCAACAUGAUGUUGGAGUCACUGGAGCGAGGAGUUCGAGCCGCAAGCGUCAGGCCACUGACCACUUGUAUGCAUUCCCUACCAGCUGUCAUUGACACCUUAACAAGCCUGUCAGCUGUAGAUAUGUCCUCUGCAGCAGGAGGAGAAGAUCUUCCAUCCCCAUUUGCUGACAUUCCUGCCCUAGUACAUAACCACAGCUACCUUCCCAUCCGCUUUGGUCUUGUGGACAACGCUCCGUGUACAUUUCAGGUAAAGGCUGACUGAAAGUUGAUUUUGCCUAUAACCGAUAGUGCCAAUAGUCAAAUUCUGGGGGAAAACAAUCUCGCGAUAGUUUAUAAAGAGAAAUCUUCCCUUAAUUUCCACAUCCUUAUUAAUGAUUAUUAUUAUAAGUAAUGAUAUUAUUAUACUAACUCAAAUUUCAGGAUUUGUUGUGCGACAGGCUCUGAAGAAGCUGUCGUGUGAUGUCUGCCAUGCCAGCCUAGGGACAGACGCUGCAUCUGCCAUCAAGGACCAGAGCUACCACCUGCUGAUCUUAAAAAACAAUGGAGGUCUGGUGAUUCCAUCAGAAGGCACAGUGAGGGUCGUCAGGGCAGCAGAGUGGGUCAUUCGUCAGGCAUCAGCAAGUUCCAGAUGAUCACAGCCCAUCAAACUGCUAGAGGUCGUGUACACUGUACGGAAGAGGAUAGGGUCAGAGGAUGUGUUUGUGCUCAUUGGGGAAACGCAGUAUGGCAUAGACAGCCACCACCAUACGCUGUUAACAGUAGUUGUGUCCCUGUUUUCUAAGCUAAGGCUGCACCACAUCGCUAAAAUGACUAACCUUACCUUACAGAGCAACAACAUGCAACAGAAGCUCAAUAAAACUGUCCUUUUCAAAGGGCAUUAGCCCAAGCUCUGUUAUUAUGGGUCUUUUUUUUUUGUCCUCCACAGUAGUGUAGUUCUCUCUACAGGGUGGGGAUUUCAACAUGCAGCAUUUUUUUAUGUAUAUUUGUAAAGGGGAAUCUUCUAUCUAUUUUUUUUUAUUGCAAAUGUCACUUUUAUAAUAGUUAAAAAAAUAAAUAGACUUUUUCUAUUUUUCUAAUCUUUUGGGCUCAGUUGUGUUUCUAAAGUCAUAUCAAGAGACCUAGAAGCUGAAAUGUGGUCAGUUGAAUUGCUUGUUAUCCAGCAGAAAGAAAAAACAAUAUUCUAGCCUCUAUAACUCUGUGCCAGUACUUCACAUAAUUAUUCUGAUUGUUUCCUAAGAAACUACAGGGUCUCAGCUUUCUAAAGAGGUCAGGCAUUUGAUGGUAGGCAAAAAUAGCUGGGGACAGUGAUCUCUGAAGUAGGCACAGUGCAAUGUCGAGGGGAAAAGCCUAGUAAAUGGCCCAACCCUGAAGAAGUUAAUAAACGUAAUAAUUCAAAUUAUUUUAUUAUAAUAUUAAUAUUAUAAAAGUGUAUGUGUAUAUAUAUAUAUAAUCAUGUUGCCAAUAUGUACACUGAGUUUUAGUAGCCUAUAUAUUGAUUUAACAUAAAUACCUUGGGCGUGUGUAUAUUCAUUGCACCUAUAUGUUCUGUUCAAUGUUAUUUUCAUAUGGAAGUCCAUGGUUAUAAUUAUAAGUAUGCAGUGUCAGAAGUACAUCUCUGACGUUUAUAACAAACCAUAUAUAUACACUAAAUAUAAAUAUAACUAAACUACUUUUUACAUUAAUCUAGUAGUUUUACUUUCUAACUUAAGUUUAGAUUUUAUUAAAACUAAUAUCAAAAUUAAUUUAGCAUGAGGUACAUUAAAUAAUUGAAAAUGUAAACAAAACUGACACUAUUACAUACCAUUUUAAACGCCUGUGUGGGGCAAAUUUUAGGACCAUUGAAAUGAGGUCUUCAAUCUCACUGGCCUUUAGAGACUUGUACACCUUCUGCAUUGCCCCUAGAGGUAGAAAUAAUAUCGUCAACAUCGUAGCCAUUUGGAUAUGGUUUUAUUUAAAAUGAUGUACAUUGGGACAAGAACAAUUUUCCAAAGUGCAAAAUAAAAUUGCCUACAACUAUAGAAAAAGACUUAUAACUUGCCUAUGAUCAUGUUGCAAUAUUUUGCGCAAGGUUGCACCUGGGUUUUCUCCUCCAAGGGACGGAAGGUAAUUCAUCUGUUUAAAAGAAAGAAAGAAAGACUUAUUUAGAGGAAAAAAGAAUAUGGCAUCAUGACAGCA